RNAcentral lists this ribosomal RNA (406 nucleotides) under uncultured bacterium. Its description in RNAcentral is "partial 16S ribosomal RNA". It matches the Rfam family "Bacterial small subunit ribosomal RNA", at positions 30 to 526 of the family's 1533-position model. The record is from RNAcentral.
AUUGAACGCUGGCGGCAGGCCUAACACAUGCAAGUCGAACGAGUGGCGGACGGGUGAGUAAUGUCUGGGAAACUGCCUGAUGGAGGGGGAUAACUACUGGAAACGGUAGCUAAUACCGCAUACCAUCGGAUGAGCCCAGAUGGGAUUAGCUAGUAGGUGGGGUAAAGGCUCACCUAGGCGACGAUCCCUAGCUGGUCUGAGAGGAUGACCAGCCACACUGGAACUGAGACACGGUCCAGACUCCUACGGGAGGCAGCAGUGGGGAAUAUUGCACAAUGGGCGCAAGCCUGAGGCAGCCAUGCCGCGUGUGUGAAGAAGGCUUUCGGGUUGUAAAGUACUGUUGUCAGGGAGGCGUUACCCGCAGAAGAAGCAACGGCUAACUACGUGCCAGCAGCCGCGGUAAUAC